CUCUACAGCCAUACCAACCUGAAUGCAUCCAAUCUUUUUUGAUAUCUGAAGCUAAGCAGGGCCAGGCUGGUUAGUAUUAAUACUUGAUGGAAGAGG
This 96-nucleotide ribosomal RNA is filed under the name Meriones unguiculatus (Mongolian gerbil). Lineage: Eukaryota; Metazoa; Chordata; Mammalia; Rodentia; Muridae. The record is from RNAcentral.